UCCCUUUCCGACGUAGAAUAU
Molecule: non-coding RNA, 21 nt
Organism: Caenorhabditis elegans
Lineage: Eukaryota; Metazoa; Nematoda; Chromadorea; Rhabditida; Rhabditidae
Source: Ensembl